CAGCAGCCGCGGUAAUACAGAGGAUGCAAGCGUUAUCCGGAAUGAUUGGGCGUAAAGCGUCUGUAGGUGGCUUUUCAAGUCCGCCGUCAAAUCCCAGGGCUCAACCCUGGACAGGCGGUGGAAACUACCAAGCUGGAGUACGGUAGGGGCAGAGGGAAGUUCCGGUGGAGCGGUGAAAUGCGUUGAGAUCGGAAGGAACACCAACGGCGAAAGCACUCUGCUGGGCCGACACUGACACUGAGAGACGAAAGCUAGGGGAGCAAAUGGGAUUAGUUACCCCCGUAGUCCCUGUCUCUUAUAC
RNAcentral lists this ribosomal RNA (301 nucleotides) under uncultured bacterium. RNAcentral's name for it is "partial 16S ribosomal RNA". It matches the Rfam family "Bacterial small subunit ribosomal RNA", at positions 509 to 807 of the family's 1533-position model. The record is from RNAcentral.